CCUACGGGGGGCAGCAGUGGGGAAUAUUGGACAAUGGGGGGAACCCUGAUCCAGCCAUGCCGCGUGUGUGAAGAAGGCCCUCGGGUUGUAAAGCACUUUCAGUGAGGAAGAACGCCUGGUGGUUAAUACCCAUCAGGAAAGACAUCACUCACAGAAGAAGCACCGGCUAACUCCGUGCCAGCAGCCGCGGUAAUACGGAGGGUGCGAGCGUUAAUCGGAAUUACUGGGCGUAAAGCGCGCGUAGGUGGCUUGAUAAGCCGGUUGUGAAAGCCCCGGGCUCAACCUGGGAACGGCAUCCGGAACUGUCAAGCUAGAGUGCAGGAGAGGAAGGUAGAAUUCCCGGUGGAGCGGUGAAAUGCGUAGAGAUCGGGAGGAAUACCAGUGGCGAAGGCGGCCUUCUGGACUGACACUGACACUGAGGUGCGAAAGCGUGGGUAGCAAACAGGAUUAGAUACCCGUGUAGUC
RNAcentral lists this ribosomal RNA (465 nucleotides) under Vreelandella stevensii. Its description in RNAcentral is "partial 16S ribosomal RNA". It matches the Rfam family "Bacterial small subunit ribosomal RNA", at positions 338 to 795 of the family's 1533-position model. Lineage: Bacteria; Pseudomonadati; Pseudomonadota; Gammaproteobacteria; Oceanospirillales; Halomonadaceae. The record is from RNAcentral.